RNAcentral lists this ribosomal RNA (265 nucleotides) under uncultured Staphylococcus sp. RNAcentral's name for it is "partial 16S ribosomal RNA". It matches the Rfam family "Bacterial small subunit ribosomal RNA", at positions 96 to 355 of the family's 1533-position model. Lineage: Bacteria; Bacillati; Bacillota; Bacilli; Caryophanales; Staphylococcaceae. The record is from RNAcentral.
CGGCGGACGGGUGAGUAACACGUGGGUAACCUACCUAUAAGACUGGGACAACUUCGGGAAACCGGAGCUAAUACCGGAUAAGAUAUCGAACCGCAUGGUUCGAUAGUGAAAGAUGGUUUUGCUAUCACUUAUAGAUGGACCCGCGCCGUAUUAGCUAGUUGGUGAGGUAACGGCUCACCAAGGCAACGAUACGUAGCCGACCUGAGAGGGUGAUCGGCCACACUGAACUGAGACACGGUCCAGACUCCUACGGGAGGCAGCAGUC